This 289-nucleotide long non-coding RNA is filed under the name Chrysemys picta bellii (western painted turtle). RNAcentral's name for it is "lncRNA (ENSCPBG00000000564.1)". Lineage: Eukaryota; Metazoa; Chordata; Testudines; Emydidae. The record is from RNAcentral.
UGCAACAAGCGCUUCGCAUCCACCCGCGCCAAGUGUUUCGCCCUGGAGACGGGAAGUUAAUCUAGGAAGUGUGGGUCAGGCUGGGAUAAUCAGACAGCCACUCUACUGGACACUGUUGCAGUCAGGAUGAAGAAAAUGCAGCUGCUGCUUUUUCCUGCAUAGUCUUUUCCUGUCCAUCUCCCUCAUUCUUUGGGAAAGAACGCUGCAGAGACUACUCUCAGUCGGUACUUGUCAAGAUGUUGGGCUUGCAACAAUCAAUAGCAGGAUAACACCAGGUAUGUGUGAGACA